This 908-nucleotide ribosomal RNA is filed under the name Salinivibrio sp. PR932. Its description in RNAcentral is "bacterial SSU rRNA". It matches the Rfam family "Bacterial small subunit ribosomal RNA", at positions 1 to 991 of the family's 1533-position model. The record is from RNAcentral. Lineage: Bacteria; Pseudomonadati; Pseudomonadota; Gammaproteobacteria; Vibrionales; Vibrionaceae.
AAUUGAAGAGUUUGAUCAUGGCUCAGAUUGAACGCUGGCGGCAGGCCUAACACAUGCAAGUCGAGCGGAAACGGCAGUAUUGAAGCUUCGGUGGAUUUACUGGACGUCGAGCGGCGGACGGGUGAGUAACGGCUGGGAACCUGCCCURACGAGGGGGAUAACCGUUGGAAACGACGGCUAAUACCGCAAUCCUUAGCUGGUUUGAGAGGAUGAUCAGCCACACUGGGACUGAGACACGGCCCAGACUCCUACGGGAGGCAGCAGUGGGGAAUAUUGCACAAUGGGGGAGACCCUGAUGCAGCCAUGCCGCGUGUGUGAAGAAGGCCUUCGGGUUGUAAAGCACUUUCAGCAGUGAGGAAGGUAGUGUACUUAAUACGUGCAUUGCUUGACGUUAGCUGCAGAAGAAGCACCGGCUAACUCCGUGCCAGCAGCCGCGGUAAUACGGAGGGUGCGAGCGUUAAUCGGAAUUACUGGGCGUAAAGCGCAUGCAGGCGGUUUGUUAAGUCAGAUGUGAAAGCCCGGGGCUCAACCUCGGAACCGCAUUUGAAACUGGCAGGCUAGAGUCUUGUAGAGGGGGGUAGAAUUUCAGGUGUAGCGGUGAAAUGCGUAGAGAUCUGAAGGAAUACCAGUGGCGAAGGCGGCCCCCUGGACAAAGACUGACGCUCAGAUGCGAAAGCGUGGGUAGCAAACAGGAUUAGAUACCCUGGUAGUCCACGCCGUAAACGAUGUCUACUUGGAGGCUGAGGUUUAAGACUUUGGCUUUCGGAGCUAACGCAUUAAGUAGACCGCCUGGGGAGUACGGCCGCAAGGUUAAAACUCAAAUGAAUUGACGGGGGCCCGCACAAGCGGUGGAGCAUGUGGUUUAAUUCGAUGCAACGCGAAGAACCUUACCUACUCUUGACAUCCAG